This 211-nucleotide long non-coding RNA is filed under the name Phoenix dactylifera (date palm). RNAcentral's name for it is "long non-coding RNA (PDAC_LNC022212)". Lineage: Eukaryota; Viridiplantae; Streptophyta; Magnoliopsida; Arecales; Arecaceae. The record is from RNAcentral.
GCGAUUAAUCCAUGUUGCAAGAAGCACACCAUCCAAGUAAGAUUAACAUAUAAAUAAAACAUUAAAUUCUAUUAUCCGUUGUUAAUAAAGCUUUUGUGAGGACUAGCCUUAUCGGAGCGGCCCGCGCCAACUGAGAACCUGAAGGCCUCUUUCCAGUCGGUGAACCAUGGCGAAGGAAGAGGAAGAGUUCUCCUCCACCACAGAUUCUACC